Molecule: ribosomal RNA, 451 nt
Filed under: uncultured bacterium
Lineage: Bacteria
Description: bacterial SSU rRNA
Rfam family: Bacterial small subunit ribosomal RNA
Source: RNAcentral
AGUCCAGACUCCUACGGGAGGCAGCAGUGGGGAAUAUUGGGCAAUGGGCGCAAGCCUGACCCAGCAACGCCGCGUGAAGGAAGAAGGCCCUCGGGUUGUAAACUUCUUUUGUCAGGGACGAAGCAAGUGGCGGUACCUGACGAAUAAGCCACGGCUAACUACGUGCCAGCAGCCGCGGUAAUACGUAGGGGGCAAGCGUUAUCCGGAUUUACUGGGUGUAAAGGGCGUGUAGGCGGGGAAGCAAGUCAGAUGUGAAAUUCCAGGGCUCAACCCUGGAACUGCAUUUGAAACUGUGUUUCUUGAGUGCUGGAGAGGCAAUCGGAAUUCCGUGUGUAGCGGUGAAAUGCGUAGAUAUACGGAGGAACACCAGUGGCGAAGGCGGAUUGCUGGACAGUAACUGACGCUGAGGCGCGAAAGCGUGGGGAGCAAACAGGAUUAGAUACCCUAGUAG